AUAAUAAUAAUAAUAAAAAAGAAAGGUGCUAAAGGUUCCGUUAAUCUAUCAACGUCUCCCUCUUCACUAACUGUCUUUUUUUUUUUAAUUGCUUUUUUUUUUACCCUUUUUUUCCUCUUUUACCCUUGUUGACCGUUUUCACCCACCCGCAAAAAACAGUAGAGCAUAUUUACAUCUCUAUAUCAAACAGAAAUGAGUGCGCUCUCUCCCACCACCCUCACAAUCAAUCAACCACCACUCUUACACUUCCCGGAAGCCAAUCACCGUGGCUCCGGCUGCCGGAAUCUCUGUCGGUUUCCAGCUGAACAACCAUGGAUGAUUCUUGGGUUGAUGUUGGUAACUUUAAUUUGAGCUGCCUUAAGCUUGGAACCAAUACUUUCUCAGU
Molecule: unclassified non-coding RNA, 385 nt
Filed under: Hevea brasiliensis (rubber tree)
Lineage: Eukaryota; Viridiplantae; Streptophyta; Magnoliopsida; Malpighiales; Euphorbiaceae
Source: RNAcentral